GCAGAAAUGGCGGAAUUGGUAGACGCGCACGACUCAAACUCGUGUACUUCGGUGUGUGGGUUCGAUUCCCACUUUCUGUA
Molecule: transfer RNA, 80 nt
Filed under: Bacteroidota bacterium
Lineage: Bacteria; Pseudomonadati; Bacteroidota
Also listed under: 1 other name
Description: Bacteroidetes bacterium (activated sludge metagenome) tRNA-Leu
Rfam family: tRNA
About the family: Transfer RNA (tRNA) molecules are approximately 80 nucleotides in length.
Source: RNAcentral